AGCGAACGCUGGCGGCAGGCCUAACACAUGCAAGUCGAACGGAUCCUUCGGGAUUAGUGGCGGACGGGUGAGUAACACGUGGGAACGUGCCCUUUGGUUCGGAACAACUCAGGGAAACUUGAGCUAAUACCGGAUGUGCCCUUCGGGGGAAAGAUUUAUCGCCAUUGGAGCGGCCCGCGUCUGAUUAGCUAGUUGGUGAGGUAACGGCCCACCAAGGCGACGAUCAGUAGCUGGUCUGAGAGGAUGAUCAGCCACACUGGGACUGAGACACGGCCCAGACUCCUACGGGAGGCAGCAGUGGGGAAUCUUGCGCAAUGGGCGAAAGCCUGACGCAGCCAUACCGCGUGAAUGAUGAAGGUCUUAGGAUUGUAAAAUUCUUUCAGCGGGGACGAUAAUGACGGUACCCGCAGAAGAAGCUCCGGCUAACUUCGUG
This 433-nucleotide ribosomal RNA is filed under the name uncultured bacterium. RNAcentral's name for it is "partial 16S ribosomal RNA". It matches the Rfam family "Bacterial small subunit ribosomal RNA", at positions 29 to 507 of the family's 1533-position model. The record is from RNAcentral.